Molecule: ribosomal RNA, 465 nt
Filed under: Vreelandella stevensii
Lineage: Bacteria; Pseudomonadati; Pseudomonadota; Gammaproteobacteria; Oceanospirillales; Halomonadaceae
Description: partial 16S ribosomal RNA
Rfam family: Bacterial small subunit ribosomal RNA
Source: RNAcentral
CCUACGGGAGGCAGCAGUGGGGAAUAUGGGACAAUGGGGGGAACCCUGAUCCAGCCAUGCCGCGUGUGUGAAGAAGGCCCUCGGGUUGUAAAGCACUUUCAGUGAGGAAGAACGCCUGGUGGUUAAUACCCAUCAGGAAAGACAUCACUCACAGAAGAAGCACCGGCUAACUCCGUGCCAGCAGCCGCGGUAAUACGGAGGGUGCGAGCGUUAAUCGGAAUUACUGGGCGUAAAGCGCGCGUAGGUGGCUUGAUAAGCCGGUUGUGAAAGCCCCGGGCUCAACCUGGGAACGGCAUCCGGAACUGUCAAGCUAGAGUGCAGGAGAGGAAGGUAGAAUUCCCGGUGUCGCGGUGAAAUGCGUAGAGCUCGGGAGGAAUACCAGUGGCGAAGGCGGCCUUCUGGACUGACACUGACACUGAGGUGCGAAAGCGUGGGUAGCAAACAGGAUUAGAUACCCGAGUAGUC